AGUCUCGUAGCUCAGCUGGUUAGAGCGCUACACUGAUAAUGUAGAGGUCGGCAGUUCGAGCCUGCCAUCUAUUA
Molecule: transfer RNA, 74 nt
Filed under: Chryseobacterium sp. CH25
Lineage: Bacteria; Pseudomonadati; Bacteroidota; Flavobacteriia; Flavobacteriales; Weeksellaceae
Description: tRNA-Ile
Rfam family: tRNA (bases 8-66)
About the family: Transfer RNA (tRNA) molecules are approximately 80 nucleotides in length. Their secondary structure includes four short double-helical elements and three loops (D, anti-codon, and T loops).
Source: RNAcentral